UUUUUUUUUUUUUUUAAAUUUUUUUCCNUACCUGUUCAAUUAUAUAGGUAUAUCUGUAGGGUAAAUUCUUAAAAGUGGGAUUGCUACAGCAAUAGGUGCGUGCAUUUUUAUUUUAAAAGAUGUUGCCCUCCAAGAUGUGCCGUUGUCAGAGAGUGUUUUAGGGUUCAGAUUUCCUUAUCAUCUCGUCAAACCCAGGCAUUAUGAAAGUCUUGAUCUUUGCUCACCUGAUAGGUGAAAAAUGUACACUAUCUUAUCUUAAUUUGCGUCUUUGACCAUGAGUGCAGUUGAUCUUUUUAUUUAUCAGCACUUUAAUAUACAUGUUAUGUGGUCUCUUAAUAAUAGAGCCAGGCGUCUUAUACAGAGCACUUCUUUCUAAGUGUCAUUCAUUUAUGUUAAAAAUAACAGCUUUAUUGAGAUAUAAUUCACACACUGUAAAAUUUACCCCUUAAAAGUAUACAAUUUGUGAGUUUUAAUCAUUUGUUUUAAAACUGAGUACCAACCAUUGCUUUUUAUUUAUAGUAAAUAACUUGAUAGACCUUGAGGUCCUCUCUUUCUGUCCAAGCUCAUCAGCAUAUUAGGCUCAAAAUAUAAAGUGGGAAGUGCAGCUUUUCUUGUUAUUUUAACAGUCCGUAGGCCUCCCUUCCCCGAAGAGUGCAGUCGGUCUAGCUGGGUUCUGAGAUGGAAUUGUGUGUGACAACUGCUUUGGAAUCUCAGUGCCUUGGUACUGGACGGGGAGUGAUUUCUUUUAACUAACUUAUAGUUGAAACUGAUUUCCAACUGCUGGAGGUGAUACAGACUUUUCAAAUUUUUCUGAAAUUUUAAAAAAUACAAAACCCGAAGUGAAAAAGACUUCCGAGGUAAAAAGAUUUUGAAAAAUACGGUAAGUGUUUAAAAUUUGUCAGUUUUUUAAAAUUUUUUAUUUUUUAUUAACAUGGGCGAUUCAACUCCUUUGUAGCUACUGCUAUGGUAAUUUUUCAUUCCAGAGAUUUCUUACUAUCAACUGAAGCGUGUGUGUGAUAAGAUGGUCGGUUACAUUGCUUGGCUCUAAUGUGUGUGUUUCUGUUAUGUUUCACGCAGAUAUUUCCGUGGGGAGAAAAGUACGAAGGUAACUUGUUAGGCUGAGUUUUUGAGUAGAAUCCUUCUGUGCUCUGGCCUUGGCUCCCAUCCAACAGGGCCUCAGGCAGCUCCUGUCCGAGGGGUCUCAGGAAGUAGUAGCUCUCAGUACUGGCCAUGGGACCCUCAUCUGUAUGGUGGUUCCACUCCGGAGAAGGUGUCCACGGAGGUUCAUAGUAGGUGGUUUUCUUUUGAUUUUGAUGGAACUAAGUUAUUCUUUCCUUUUGAUUUUAUAAAUAUUUUAAACAUUUAGUUUCCUAUUUUUCUUCUUAGUGAAAUAUCUUUAAAAUGUGAUACUUUGCAUUUUAACCCCCUCAACUUCUGUGAUUUCUCCCUCUUUUUAUGCUUCUUCUGUUUGGAAAGUUAUUUUUGAUUGGUUUGGUUUUAAUCCUUAAAUUAAAAUGUCUCCUCUUUUUCUCUCUUGACAUCUCUUUUCUUGUUACCAGUUUUUUCAUGUUUUAUAGUUUUUCCUCCCAUAAAGUCCCUUGGCCUUUGGCUUGUAGUUUUGAUUAAAGCGGAUUUUUUUCUUGGGCUUUUAAUUAGGUUUUCUUUUUCGUUAGCUUUUCUUAGGGAGAUUGAAGAUGGGGCUGACCGAUACUUGGGUCAGUGGUAUAAUUACUUAGGAUGAGACUAAUGUGAACAUUGAGUGGCUUGAAUACAGUGUUUAGCUUAGUUUAUGGAAAUUUCCAUUUCCAUUUGAGGGCUAUUUCCUGGCUUAGAGGCAGCGCCCUAAAAGAAUACCAAAAUCAAAUUCUUAGUGCUAUGUGCAUUUGGGUCAAGGUGAGAUAUGAGAAGUGGGUAAUGUAUAGGGAACGGUAUUUAUAACUCUAGAAAUAGUGUUUUGCUAAGAGAUGUGAUGUUGAUUUGAUAGCAGAGAAUAACUGGGUCUUUUAACCACACUCUGUAUGUGCUGUGAAAUUCAUCUUUUUUCUUGCUUCACCCAAAUAUCCUGAACCAGAGUGGUCAAUGAGCAUUAUAAAUAAGUGUGGUUAGUUAGUGUGAGAAGACCUAGAGUCUGAUGCCACUUGUACCAUGGGUUUCAAGUGUGAUGAAGUGCCCUGCUUCCUUAGGUGUCAGAUGGGGACCGUAGCACGUAAAGUGGAAGAAAAAAUAGAUAUGGAAAUGAAUUGAAAAUGCUUUAGUUAGCUUUUUCUUUUACAGGAACCUAGCUGUUGUAGCCCACAGCCGUUACUUAAUUUAGCAGUGUUUAUCCCCUGUGAUGUUAUUUCUAGAGAAUUCCACUGUUUUCUUGAUGCAUUUCUUGUGCAAACACUACAUGCAGAUGUAUUUGUUCAAAAUGUUUUAAUGCAUAUGCUACUGAGUGCACAGUUAGCGUUCACCGUAGUAGAGAAUUUAGGUGUUUUGUCCUAAAAUAAGACUUUUGUUUUCAUUUUAUGACAAGAGACAUCAAAAAGGUAUGAGUGUGAUAAUGCAUUGCCUCUUUUUUUUCUUUUUUUAACGAAUUCAGCACUUUUGAAAUUGCAGAAAUUUGUAAAUAUAUUUUUGGUAGAAAACUACAGUGAGGAUGGCAUUGGUAGGUUGUUGAGUUAGGAAUAGGAGCAGUUUUUCCUGCCACGUUGGUCAUAAGCCCAGGAACUUUUAAUAUUAAGAUAUAGGGAGAGCUAGAGUUACCUUGUAACCCCGACAUGAUUUAAGAGGCUGUUUUUCUUUCUCAAGUUGCUUGUUCCAGUCUUAUCGCUCAGGAAGGAAACUUUGAAGAUUUUUUUUUAACUUUCUGGGAGUCAAAGAUUAAUUUGUAAUUAAAACAGUUAGUAUGGGUCUUUCACUCCCCACCCCCCUUAAAAAAAAACUGUCCUCAGUUGAGGAGAAUUGUCUUGUUAAAGUGCUUACUUUUCCCAUGAGGGAUUCAGAUAAUUUGUUUUCUCUUUGGUUUGGAUAUUAGGGGUAAUUUCUCCCCUUAAAAAUCGAGUUCUGAAGGAAGUGGCUGUAUUUUUAUCAUUAUCCUAAAAGACUACAGGUGCUGACAAAUUCCUUGCAUUCCCAAAGUCCAUUUUACUUGGGUCUUGGCUGCCUUCUUGCGAUUUUCUAGAAUGCUGAUUGCCAGCCUAGCUUGAUGAGGGACUGGCUUUGAAAUCCAAGGCCUCGUUGGAGGCAUCGAAGGACUGUAGAGGUUGGAAAUGUUAAGGUUACAGAAUGCUUGUGGACUGCCACAUGCUAUUGAUGUGCAGCAUGUAGUGGUUCAGGGUCCUUGGAAAUGUAUGCUUUUGAUACUGUUGUCAUCUGGGUGGGCCUCAGCCCCUCUGUGCAUUGCUUAGAAUUGAUGCGCUUUAAGCUCCCAGUAUACGUGGAUCCCCGACCCACUGGUCGAGGCCAGGGAUCCUCAUGGAUACUAGUCGGAUUCAUUUCUGCUGCACCACAACAGAACUCCAAAGUUUUCCUUUCUUCGUUUUUUCUGUUUUGCGCUUGAUUUUUAGAGAAUUAUAGGUUUGAAACUAUUGUCUUUUUCUUAAACAUGGUGUGCUCCUUUUUCUUGUCCUAUUGUUCCUAUGGAUGUGUUUAAUUUGAAAAAGAUUUCAGAAGAAUAAUGCUUUCUGUGUACCUAUACCAAUCAUGAAAAGGAAAGCUCAAUCUUGUUUUUCUGAAAAGAUGGAGCAAGUGAUGAAUAAGCGAAACAUAACAGUCAUUACAGAAACCACUUGUGAUUUCAGGCCGUAGCUUCUAGGAGGCCGCUCUCAGCUACAUGUCCUUUUCUCUGGGUAGUUGGCUUUGGUAAGGGAGCCUCUGGGUGAGACCUUGGGCUUGUGGGCAGUCCUUUCUCUGAGUGUCUCUUGCAGGGCGUGGUACCAGGCCUUGGGAGCACAAAGGUAAGUAAGAUGUGUCCCUGCUCACAGAGGUCAUCACCAAAAGGAGGGAACAGAUGGGAAUAAAAAUCACUAAAAUACAGUCUGAAAAGAACUGGUCGAAGCAGGAAUAUCAUGCUCUGACAGACCAGACCUGGGAACCUCCAUAUGCCGCGGGAGCAGCCCAAGAAAUGACAAAAAGACCAAAAAAAAAAAAAAAAAAAAAAAGGAAAAUAGAACCUACAGCCCUUGAUGAUUGAGGGGAGAAUCGAGGAUGCUCCUAGAUUUCUGGCUCCUUCCCUCUCACCUCUAAGCUUGCCCUUCGAUGCCUGCUUUGGGAAAAAUGAAUGUGGACCCUUUAACUACUUUCCCUUGGGCAGCCAGCAGGAUGUAGGAGGCUGCAGGAGGAGGAUUCCUUGCUGGCUCCAGGGCGCUUGCCUGGCAGGCUCCUGUAGCAUGUGGGGCUUCUCCGUGUCCAGGCUCCUGCUGCUCUGUCCCUGCCCGCCCUCUCCCUCAGAGUGCCUCCGUGAGAGGCUUCCCCACAAACAACUUUCUUUGUCAUUCUAGAGGACAGAUUUCUGGCAAGUUCCAGAGGGCAGAUUUCCAGACAUUCUGCUGAUGUAAGCCCUCUCCAACAAGGUCUGGAUCUCAAGCCCUAGGACUGGGGGGCUCUUGAGGGGGCUCUGACUCAGCUGCAAGGGUGUGGUGAUGAUUUAUUAUGCUGUAUGAUCAUUUCUGUUGAAUUGAUGUCAUCUGUUCCUUUAUUCUUUAGAGUUCUUUUUACCUCUUACUAGCCAAUUCCCAGUCCCUGCUGUAGUUAAUCAUACCUUUUUUAAAGACAACUUUUCUUGUUCACAUUACUGUGUUUCUCGCUCCUGAUUGGACUCAGGCUGAUACAGUGCUCUGAUAUGACCCCACUGGGGAGAGGGAUGGACAGUGUAUUCGGUUUGAGACGUGCUCAAUUUGAAGUACAGGACACCUGUGUGGAGCUAUCCAGGAGCUGGUCAUGUGUAUGGGUCGUGAGCUCUGGACGAGGACUUGGGUUGGAGAUUGUUCAGGGAGUGUAUGAGGGAAGAGGUGACAGGAGGGCCCACGGUAGCUCCUGUGGAUCACUGUCCUGAGGUCUGUUCACAGGCAGAAGAGUCUGCUCAGGAGCCUGAGGAAGAUUGGCCACAAAAAUAGAAGGCACCACCGAAGGAGGGGAGUUAUCAGUGUUAAAUGUUACUGAAAGGUCAAAUAAUAGAAGUGAUGGAAAUUGUCCACAAAUAGAAAAACUAAUAAAAAAAAUAUACUGUCUUUUUUCUGUCAUUUUAGAGCCCCCCAUGCGGCACAUGGAGGUUCCAGGCUAAGGGGUCGGGUUGGAGCUGUAGCCGAUGGCCUACACCACAGUCACGGCAAUGCUGAUCCUUAUCCCACUGAGCGAGGCCAGGAAUCAAACCUGCGUCCUCAUGGAUAUUAGUCAGAUUUGUUUCCACUGAGCCACGAAGGAAACUCCAACAUGUGCUGUCUUAAAGAUAAUUAUUUGCUUGUUUAUCUGGAAAGAAUCCCUAGAAAUUCCAUCUGGUUACAUUUACCAAGUGUCUGGGUUCCUACUAGGAUAGACCUUAAGAGCGUGGGUUCUGGAGCCUAAUUGCCUGGGUGAGCCUGCCAGUUCCACCCAGCACUCACUAGCUGUGUGGGCGUAGAUAAUUUAUUAAGCCCUCUGGGUCCCCACUCACUCAUCUGUAUGUAGAUUGGAAAUUAUAUACCAUCCCUGGGAUUGUCGUGAGGGUUAGAUGAGUUAAUGUAUGUACUGCAGCACCGUGUCUGGCACACACGCCCUUGGUAAAUUGUGGGAAUGCUGGGCAUUGCGGUGGGUGACAGGGAUGGAAAGAUGACUUGGGCUGCAGGCUCCACUCUGAGGGUGUGGGGAGUGGGAAGAGGCUUAAUUAUCAACAAAGCACAGUGAGUGGUAGGUGUCAGGUAAAGACCCUAAUAAGGUGCCAGAGAGGUUCUGCCAAGGAGUGCCAGAGGGGGUGAAGGCUGAGAUGGAUCUUGGAGGGGUGUGGUUUCACCCUGUGCAGGGCUGGAUGGGGGCGGGUGUGUUUCUGAAAGAAGGAACAGCAUUGGCAUCAAGAGUGCUUGAUGGGGCGAUCCCUUCGUGGCUCAGUGCUUAGAGAACCCGACUAGGAUCCAUGAGGAUGCGGGUUUGAUCCCUGGCCUUGCUCAGUGGGUUAAGGAUCUGGCAUUGCUUUGAGUUGUAGUGUAGGUCUCAGAGGCUGCUUGGAUCCUGCGUUGCUGUGGGUUUGGCGUAGGCCGGCAGCUACAGCUCCGUUUCCACCCCUAGCCUGGGGACCUCCAUAUGCCAUAGGUGUGGCCCUAAAAAGCAAAAAAAAAAAAGAAAAAAAAAGAAAAAA
This 6310-nucleotide long non-coding RNA is filed under the name Sus scrofa (pig). Its description in RNAcentral is "lncRNA (ENSSSCG00030064323.1)". Lineage: Eukaryota; Metazoa; Chordata; Mammalia; Artiodactyla; Suidae. The record is from RNAcentral.